RNAcentral lists this ribosomal RNA (465 nucleotides) under uncultured bacterium. RNAcentral's name for it is "partial 16S ribosomal RNA". It matches the Rfam family "Bacterial small subunit ribosomal RNA", at positions 28 to 507 of the family's 1533-position model. The record is from RNAcentral.
GACGAACGCUGGCGGCGUGCUUAACACAUGCAAGUCGAACGGAAAGGCCCUGCUUGCAGGGUACUCGAGUGGCGAACGGGUGAGUAACACGUGGGUGAUCUGCCCUGCACUUCGGGAUAAGCCUGGGAAACUGGGUCUAAUACCGGAUAGGAGCCAUUUUUAGCGUGAUGGUUGGAAAGUUUUUUCGGUGUAGGAUGAGCUCGCGGCCUAUCAGCUUGUUGGUGGGGUAAUGGCCUACCAAGGCGGCGACGGGUAGCCGGCCUGCGAGGGUGGACGGCCACAUUGGGACUGAGAUACGGCCCAGACUCCUACGGGAGGCAGCAGUGGGGAAUAUUGCACAAUGGGCGCAAGCCUGAUGCAGCGACGCCGCGUGGGGGAUGACGGCCUUCGGGUUGUAGACUCCUUUCGCUAGGGACGAAGCUUUUUGUGACGGUACCUAGAGAAGAAGCACCGGCUAACUACGUG